CUGUGAGACGCACCGGUCUCGUAUCUCUCACGGAGGAGCGGGAAUUUUCUUAGCAAUGUUAAAACGCACAUCAACCGAUCACUUGUUUAGCGUUCAUGUAAACACGACAUUCAGAUUCACCAAUCGGAAUGAAUUCAGUUAGAUUGAAACAAAAGGUGUGCAUCUGAAUCACGGACAUCGACGGCCGGACAUGUCCGGGAAAAAGAGGAUGGUAACCCCUACUACUCAGCUUUCUCCACAGAACAAGAGCCUGAUAGCUUAGCUUCCAAAAAAAGAUGGCCGACACUAUGUGUACAUUCUGUGAGUGAGAUCCCAGCCUCUAUGGGCGGGUUGAGAACAUGAGGAACAGCCCCUACUACUGGCUGUAGUCUUUAGCCUCUGGCCAAAAAAUCCUCCGAUGACGCAAAAUGACGAUUUUUGCGUCAUCGGAGGAUUUUUUCCAGACAAAAAAUACAUAAAUCUCUCGUUUCAGGGGGAUAUGAGGGUGGAAAGCAUGUUAAUUCGAAAAUACUACAGGUUUUCGACUAAUACAAAGCUUAAUGCUAAAUCCUGAAGUAUCCCUUAAAGUCGGCAUGAAAUCAAAUUUGACAAAUCUUCUUUUUAUAUGUAAUAUUGUAGUGUUUAUUAUAAAUGAUUUAUCUGUGCACUUCAUUAUUU
Long non-coding RNA from Rhinichthys klamathensis goyatoka, 657 nucleotides. RefSeq lists it as uncharacterized. Lineage: Eukaryota; Metazoa; Chordata; Actinopteri; Cypriniformes; Leuciscidae. The transcript is spliced from 2 exons. The record is from RefSeq and is a predicted model, not a curated record.